RNAcentral lists this ribosomal RNA (404 nucleotides) under uncultured rhizosphere oomycete. RNAcentral describes it as "eukaryotic LSU rRNA". It matches the Rfam family "Eukaryotic large subunit ribosomal RNA", at positions 326 to 629 of the family's 3401-position model. Lineage: Eukaryota; Oomycota. The record is from RNAcentral.
GUGCGAGACCGAUAGCGAACAAGUACCGUGAGGGAAAGAUGAAAAGAACUUUGAAAAGAGAGUUAAAGAGUACCUGAAACUGCUGAAAGGGAAUCGAAUCGUUUCCAGUGUCUAUAAUCCGUGGCAUAUUUCAUUGGCGUGCUUCGGCUUGCCGGUGCCCUGUGUUGCGGUGGGACGUCAGAGUCAGUUCGAAUGCUGCGGGAAAUGGCUGCUAGGGAGGUAGGUCACUUCGGUGAUUGUUAUAUCCUGGCGUGCUAGUCGUCGUGGUUGGGACUGAGGUGCCUACAACGUGCUUUCGAGUCUGCGGGACUCUCGUUUGGUUGUUUGCUUUGACAGCUUGCUGUGUUGGUAAACGUAUCGAGCGAUUGAGGCCUGUCGUAACUUGUUGCUGUUCGGGACUUUGA